AAAGAUGUGAAUAGUGGUUUCAAGUGGUAGACUGUAAAUCUGUUAGUUUAUCUUACAGAGGUUCGAAUCCUAUUUUUUUUA
Molecule: transfer RNA, 81 nt
Filed under: Monodopsis sp. MarTras21
Lineage: Eukaryota; Eustigmatophyceae; Eustigmatales; Monodopsidaceae
Description: tRNA-Tyr
Source: RNAcentral